UAGGGAAUCUUCCACAGUGGGCGAGAGCCUGAUGGAGCAACGCCGCGUGUGUGAUGAAGGGUUUCGGCUCGUAAAACACUGUUGUAAGAGAAGAAUGACAUUGAGAGUAACUGUUCAAUGUGUGACGGUAUCUUACCAGAAAGGAACGGCUAAAUACGUGCUAG
Molecule: ribosomal RNA, 164 nt
Filed under: uncultured bacterium
Lineage: Bacteria
Description: partial 16S rRNA
Rfam family: Bacterial small subunit ribosomal RNA
Source: RNAcentral